RNAcentral lists this unclassified non-coding RNA (240 nucleotides) under soil metagenome. RNAcentral's name for it is "partial contains 5.8S ribosomal RNA, internal transcribed spacer 2, and large subunit ribosomal RNA". The record is from RNAcentral.
AACAAGGCGUACCUGCGGACCUGCGGAAGGAUCAUUAACGAGUGUAACCUGCCCUUUUAAAAAAUGGGUGGUACCUCCCGUCCUUUGCGGGCCCCCUUCUUUUAUUAAGGGGGGGGCUUUUAAGACUUUCUGCUUCGGCGGGGUUAUUCCCGCCGGAACACCUUCAAAAAACUCUUGAUCAAAAAACUGUUCAGUCCGAGAAUUUUUGAAAAUUAAAACAAAACUUUUAACAACGGAUCU